AGGUUAUUAGCUCAACGGCAGAGCGCGGGAUUGUUAAUCCUGAAGUUGCAGGUUCGAAUCCUGCAUAACCUGC
Molecule: transfer RNA, 73 nt
Rfam family: tRNA
About the family: Transfer RNA (tRNA) molecules are approximately 80 nucleotides in length. Their secondary structure includes four short double-helical elements and three loops (D, anti-codon, and T loops).